This 139-nucleotide small RNA is filed under the name Chrysemys picta bellii (western painted turtle). Its description in RNAcentral is "TUC338 (ENSCPBG00000008445.1)". The record is from RNAcentral. Lineage: Eukaryota; Metazoa; Chordata; Testudines; Emydidae.
UUGACAUUUCUGUAGAUCCAAGGCCCUUAUUUUAAUACAAAAAACAUAAGCACAGUGUGGGUAGCUCACCUACUUGAUGGGACCACCUGUAAGGUGAGAGGGGACUUCAGUCUUCAUGGUCAUUCAAUUCUUAGCCUUG